UGGGGAAUAUUGCACAAUGGGCGCAAGCCUGAUGCAGCAACGCCGCGUGAACGAUGAAGGUCUUCGGAUCGUAAAGUUCUGUUGCAGGGGAAGAUAAUGACGGUACCCUGUGAGGAAGCCCCGGCUAACUACGUGCCAGCAGCCGCGGUAAUACGUAGGGGGCUAGCGUUAUCCGGAUUUACUGGGCGUAAAGGGUGCGUAGGUGGUCUUUCAAGUUGGUGGUUAAAGGCUACGGCUCAACCGUAGUUAGCCUCCGAAACUGGAAGACUUGAGUGCAGGAGAGGAAAGUGGAAUUCCCAGUGUAGCGGUGAAAUGCGUAGAUAUUGGGAGGAACACCAGUAGCGAAGGCGGCUUUCUGGACUGCAACUGACACUGAGGCACGAAAGCGUGGGUAGCAAACAGG
RNAcentral lists this ribosomal RNA (403 nucleotides) under Verrucomicrobiota bacterium. RNAcentral describes it as "Verrucomicrobia bacterium partial 16S ribosomal RNA". It matches the Rfam family "Bacterial small subunit ribosomal RNA", at positions 355 to 776 of the family's 1533-position model. Lineage: Bacteria; Pseudomonadati; Verrucomicrobiota. The record is from RNAcentral.